This is a small nucleolar RNA of Ochotona princeps (American pika), 134 nucleotides long. RefSeq annotates it as small nucleolar RNA SNORA70. The transcript has a single exon. NCBI's taxonomy places the organism in Eukaryota, Metazoa, Chordata, Mammalia, Lagomorpha, Ochotonidae. The record is from RefSeq and is a predicted model, not a curated record.
CUUUAACCAAUUAAAUGGAAUAGGCAUCUUUCCUCAUGGAUCCCAGUGUGCAACAGCUGAAAACAGCAACCACUUUAGUAGUGCAUGCAACCUAUUGAUUGUAUGGUUCGCACUAAGAAUCCUUGGAGACAGCC